Non-coding RNA from Gordonia sputi NBRC 100414, 132 nucleotides. NCBI's taxonomy places the organism in Bacteria, Bacillati, Actinomycetota, Actinomycetes, Mycobacteriales, Gordoniaceae. The record is from Rfam.
AGCGUCUUUCUUCGGGGCGGAGCUCGACCGCCAACACAAGAAGUAGUCACGUUCAUCGAUGAUCAGCGGGCAGAAUUCGGGGUUGAGCCCAUCCUCGCCGUCCUGCGCAGCGCAGGUGUGCGGAUGGCCCCG